RNAcentral lists this transfer RNA (71 nucleotides) under Lepisosteus oculatus (spotted gar). It matches the Rfam family "tRNA". Rfam says of the family: Transfer RNA (tRNA) molecules are approximately 80 nucleotides in length. Their secondary structure includes four short double-helical elements and three loops (D, anti-codon, and T loops). The record is from Rfam by way of RNAcentral. Lineage: Eukaryota; Metazoa; Chordata; Actinopteri; Semionotiformes; Lepisosteidae.
GGGGAUGUAGCUCAGUGGUAGAGUGCAUGCUUUGUAUGUAUGAGGUCCUGAGUUCAGUCCUAGCAUCUCCA